This 253-nucleotide ribosomal RNA is filed under the name uncultured bacterium. Its description in RNAcentral is "partial 16S ribosomal RNA". It matches the Rfam family "Bacterial small subunit ribosomal RNA", at positions 524 to 776 of the family's 1533-position model. The record is from RNAcentral.
UACGAAGGGGGCUAGCGUUGUCCGGAAUUACUGGGCGUAAAGCGCGUGUAGGUGGUGGGACAAGUCUGCUGUGAAAGCGCCUGGCUUAACCGGGCGAGGUCGGCGGAAACUGUCCGACUAGAGGACGGUAGAGGGGGGUGGAAUUCCCGGUGUAGUGGUGAAAUGCGUAGAGAUCGGGAGGAACACCUGUGGCGAAGGCAGCCCCCUGGGCCUGUACUGACGCUGAGGAGCGAAAGCGUGGGGAGCGAACAGG